AGUGGUUUUUUUAUUAAAACAAAGUAUAAGUAAAGUAAAUAUUUAUAAUAUAAAGUUUUACAAAGUAAUCAACUAAAAUAAAAAUCAUGAAAUAAAAUUUGUGUAGUGUGAUAUAAGAGGUUAGUAUGUGUCAUAAACUCAAAAUCUCAAGACAAAUAUGUGUAUAGGACAAGGACAGAAGGAAAAUUACUAAAAGAAGAAAAGAAAGAAAACCAGUAUAAGCAACAAAAAUCCACAAAUCAAGGAAGAGAACGUGUAGGUAAAUUAGAAAAUCAACGUGGUGAACCGUUAAAACUUCAAAGGGUGUCCCAUCCUAGAAUUUUCCAUCUGUCCCUCUCUACCUUUGUAACCAAGAAAAGUGGAGUAUAAAGAAGUCAUGUUGUAUCCCUAUCAAGAUCACACCUCAAAAUAUAAAUUCGACAAAGCUUCUGUCGAUUCGCUUAAUAGAACUCCACCGUGAUCGACGUCACAAAGUAACCGAUCAUUCCCUAUCAACCUGUUCAUUUUCCGUUGAAUUAUUAGCAACGCCGGUGACUGUAUAUCAACCCUGUUGGAUGAAACCAAUACCCAUGAUCAACAUCACCUCCCCUCCACCUUUGAACCACCGUAACCGACUUUUCCGGCAACCUCUCGUUAUCCCGAUCUUCUCAAACAGAAGGUAAAUCUUGCAAACAAUCGCUCGUGAACAAAGUGAUUUUGCUUUGAAACAUUAAAGGUUCACAGGUUACUUCGGGCGGGUUAAAGAGAGAAGAAUAAAGCGUAGGACUAAAUCUGAAGAUGUUAGUUAAUCAAGUCGAAUGUGUUCGCUUGGAUAUUAAUUUUAAGUUUAGUUGUCGUGUGGUUGUAUCCUUGUCAAAUAAAUAAAUGGAAUUAUGACUUUUGUUUAU
Helianthus annuus (common sunflower) is the source of this 887-nucleotide long non-coding RNA. RefSeq lists it as uncharacterized. The record is from RefSeq and is a predicted model, not a curated record. NCBI's taxonomy places the organism in Eukaryota, Viridiplantae, Streptophyta, Magnoliopsida, Asterales, Asteraceae. The transcript has 3 exons.